CAGUCGCCACGGGAAUACGGAGGGUGCAAGCGUUAAUCGGAAUUACUGGGCGUAAAGCGUGCGUAGGCGGUUCGUUAAGUCUGUUAUGAAAGCCCCGGGCUCAACCUGGGAAUGGCAAUGGAUACUGGCGAGCUAGAGUGUGUCAGAGGAUGGUGGAAUUCCCGGUGUAGCGGUGAAAUGCGUAGAGAUCGGGAGGAACAUCAGUGGCGAAGGCGGCCAUCUGGGACAACACUGACGCUGAGGCACGAAAGCGUGGGGAGCAAACAGGAUUAGAUACCCCCGUAGUCCCUGUCUCUUAUAC
RNAcentral lists this ribosomal RNA (301 nucleotides) under uncultured bacterium. RNAcentral's name for it is "partial 16S ribosomal RNA". It matches the Rfam family "Bacterial small subunit ribosomal RNA", at positions 509 to 807 of the family's 1533-position model. The record is from RNAcentral.